This 578-nucleotide ribosomal RNA is filed under the name Petasospora xylebori. Its description in RNAcentral is "Cyberlindnera xylebori partial large subunit ribosomal RNA". It matches the Rfam family "Eukaryotic large subunit ribosomal RNA", at positions 62 to 648 of the family's 3401-position model. Lineage: Eukaryota; Fungi; Ascomycota; Saccharomycetes; Phaffomycetales; Wickerhamomycetaceae. The record is from RNAcentral.
AAACCAACAGGGAUUGCCUCAGUAACGGCGAGUGAAGCGGCAAAAGCUCAAAUUUGAAAUCCGGCGUCUCUCGGCGCCCGAGUUGUAAUUUGAAGGCAGUUUUCUGGUGCUGGCGCCCCUGUCUAUGUUCCUUGGAACAGGACGUCGCAGAGGGUGAGAAUCCCGUCUGGCGGGGGUGUGUGGCCUUUGUAGAUUUCUGGCGACGAGUCGAGUUGUUUGGGAAUGCAGCUCUAAGUGGGUGGUAAAUUCCAUCUAAAGCUAAAUACUGGCGAGAGACCGAUAGCGAACAAGUACAGUGAUGGAAAGAUGAAAAGAACUUUGAAAAGAGAGUGAAAAAGUACGUGAAAUUGUUGAAAGGGAAGGGUGUUGGAUCAGACUUGGUGCUUUGCGAAUAUCUUCCCCUCGUGGGUUGUGCACUCGCACUGCGCUGGGCCAGCAUCGGUUUGGACGGCAAGACAAUGGCGUGGGGAACGUGGCACUCUUUUGUGUGUGUGUUAUAGCCCUGGCUGAUGUUGCCUGUGCGGACCGAGGACUGCGGCGUUUGUGCCUAGGAUGCUGGCGUAAUGAUUCAACACCGC